Molecule: ribosomal RNA, 854 nt
Filed under: Pedobacter sp.
Lineage: Bacteria; Pseudomonadati; Bacteroidota; Sphingobacteriia; Sphingobacteriales; Sphingobacteriaceae
Description: bacterial SSU rRNA
Rfam family: Bacterial small subunit ribosomal RNA
Source: RNAcentral
GGCGCACGGGUGCGUAACGCGUAUGCAACCUACCUUUAUCAGGGGGAUAGCCCGGAGAAAUCCGGAUUAACACCGCAUAACAUCAUGUUAUAGCAUUAUAAUAUGAUCAAACAUUUAUGGGAUAAAGAUGGGCAUGCGUGKCAUUAGCUAGUUGGCGGGGUAACGGCCCACCAAGGCGACGAUGACUAGGGGAUCUGAGAGGAUGGCCCCCCACACUGGUACUGAGACACGGACCAGACUCCUACGGGAGGCAGCAGUAAGGAAUAUUGGUCAAUGGAGGCAACUCUGAACCAGCCAUGCCGCGUGCAGGAAGACUGCCCUAUGGGUUGUAAACUGCUUUUAUCCGGGAAUAAACCUACUUACGUGUAAGUAGCUGAAUGUACCGKAAGAAUAAGGAUCGGCUAACUCCGUGCCAGCAGCCGCGGUAAUACGGAGGAUCCAAGCGUUAUCCGGAUUUAUUGGGUUUAAAGGGUGCGUAGGCGGCCUGUUAAGUCAGGGGUGAAAGACGGUAGCUCAACUAUCGCAGUGCCCUUGAUACUGAUGGGCUUGAAUGGACUAGAGGUAGGCGGAAUGAGACAAGUAGCGGUGAAAUGCAUAGAUAUGUCUCAGAACACCGAUUGCGAAGGCAGCUUACUAUGGUCCUAUUGACGCUGAGGCACGAAAGCGUGGGGAUCAAACAGGAUUAGAUACCCUGGUAGUCCACGCCCUAAACGAUGAACACUCGCUGUUGGCGAUACACAGUCAGCGGCUAAGCGAAAGCGUUAAGUGUUCCACCUGGGGAGUACGCCCGCAAGGGUGAAACUCAAAGGAAUUGACGGGGGCCCGCACAAGCGGAGGAGCAUGUGGUUUAAUUC